Molecule: long non-coding RNA, 489 nt
Filed under: Homo sapiens (human)
Lineage: Eukaryota; Metazoa; Chordata; Mammalia; Primates; Hominidae
Description: non-protein coding lnc-UNCX-3:3
Source: RNAcentral
CGCGCCCCGCAGGCCCGCCCACUCCUCGCUUCUCCACUUCCCUUCUCGAAGUGUCCGGUCGCUUCUCGCAGGCGGCGCGCUUGCUGGGUCACAGUGAGGCGGCUCCGCGCAGGCGCAGCCGGGCGGGCGAGGAGCGGGGAAGCUGACUCAGGGCUGCGGCCGGGGUCCUGCGGGGUAGGAGCGCGAGGCCGGCCUGAGGGAGGAGGCCUAGCGACCCAUCCGGCGCCUCCCGCCCCGGGCACCCGCCCGCGGCCGCGCAUCCUGCGGGCCCCAGGAGGCCUCCAUCUCAAAACAACGUGUUUUUAGUGUUGACUCACCUGUGGAGUGGUCUGAGCCUGAAUGCCCGGGGCUGUGGCCACCGAGUGAACGGGCUGUGCUAAGGGGAAUUGCCACCUUGGGAAACCUGUGUAGUUGCGGCUUUUCUGAUUAAGUAUCAAUAAAAGUCUGACCUUGUGAAAAAAGCAAACGUGAGUGGCCCUGCUUAUGUUU